RNAcentral lists this ribosomal RNA (501 nucleotides) under uncultured bacterium. RNAcentral describes it as "bacterial SSU rRNA". It matches the Rfam family "Bacterial small subunit ribosomal RNA", at positions 28 to 573 of the family's 1533-position model. The record is from RNAcentral.
AACGAACGCUGGCGGCAUGCCUAACACAUGCAAGUCGAACGCCUUGGCUUCGGCCAGGGAGUGGCGCACGGGUGAGUAACGCGUGGGAACCUGCCCGGCAGUACGGGACAACCGCGGGAAACUGCGGCUAAUACCGUAUACGGCCUGAGGGCGAAAGAAUUUCGCUGUCGGAGGGGCCCGCGUCGGAUUAGGUAGUUGGUGGGGUAACGGCCUACCAAGCCUGCGAUCCGUAGCUGGUCUGAGAGGAUGAUCAGCCACACUGGGACUGAGACACGGCCCAGACUCCUACGGGAGGCAGCAGUGGGGAAUAUUGGACAAUGGGCGCAAGCCUGAUCCAGCAAUGCCGCGUGAGUGAUGAAGGCCUUAGGGUUGUAAAGCUCUUUCGCCCGCGACGAUGAUGACGGUAGCGGGAGAAGAAGCCCCGGCUAACUCCGUGCCAGCAGCCGCGGUAAUACGGAGGGGCUAGCGUUGUUCGGAAUUACUGGGCGUAAAGGGCGCGCA